AGAUAGCCACGAUCGAAUUCAGGGAAUUAACAAUGGAAUUGCACAAUUUUCGUUGCUGCGAGCCAUCUUUUGAAGAAAGAAACAGUUUUAAAGAGAAAGAGACAACAACUGAUACAUCUAUUGAACAGGUUCAAGUGGAAGAGUCAGUCAGAACAUGUUUCAGCAGUUUUAAACACCGAUUAGAAGUGGACCAAGAAUGCAUUUUGCCAAGACUGGAGAGAGACAUGCAUGUUGGUUUCCUUCUAAAAGGCCUGACUCACCUUUCUGAAUCAUACGAG
Long non-coding RNA from Dreissena polymorpha, 278 nucleotides. RefSeq lists it as uncharacterized. The record is from RefSeq and is a predicted model, not a curated record. NCBI's taxonomy places the organism in Eukaryota, Metazoa, Mollusca, Bivalvia, Myida, Dreissenidae. The transcript has 3 exons.